GAUGAACGCUGGCGGCGUGCCUAAUACAUGCAAGUCGAGCGAACAGACGAGGUGCUUGCUCCUCUGACGUUAGCGGCGGACGGGUGAGUAACACGUGGAUAACCUACCUAUAAGACUGGGAUAACUUCGGGAAACCGGAGCUAAUACCGUAUAAUAUAUUGAACCGCAUGGUUCAAUAGUGAAAGACGGUUUUGCUGUCACUUAUAGAUGGAUCCGCGCCGCAUUAGCUAGUUGGUAAGGUAACGGCUUACCAAGGCAACGAUGCGUAGCCGACCUGAGAGGGUGAUCGGCCACACUGGAACUGAGACACGGUCCAGACUCCUACGGGAGGCAGCAGUAGGGAAUCUUCCGCAAUGGGCGAAAGCCUGACGGAGCAACGCCGCGUGAGUGAUGAAGGUCUUCGGAUCGUAAAACUCUGUUAUUAGGGAAGAACAAAUGUGUAAGUAACUAUGCACGUCUUGACGGUACCUAAUCAGAAAGCCACGGCUAACUACGUG
Molecule: ribosomal RNA, 497 nt
Filed under: uncultured bacterium
Lineage: Bacteria
Description: partial 16S ribosomal RNA
Rfam family: Bacterial small subunit ribosomal RNA
Source: RNAcentral